This 269-nucleotide ribosomal RNA is filed under the name uncultured Flavobacterium sp. RNAcentral's name for it is "partial 16S ribosomal RNA". It matches the Rfam family "Bacterial small subunit ribosomal RNA", at positions 1 to 277 of the family's 1533-position model. The record is from RNAcentral. Lineage: Bacteria; Pseudomonadati; Bacteroidota; Flavobacteriia; Flavobacteriales; Flavobacteriaceae.
UCGAGAGUUUGAUCCUGGCUCAGGAUGAACGCUAGCGGCAGGCUUAACACAUGCAAGUCGAGGGGUAUAGUUCUUCGGAACUAGAGACCGGCGCACGGGUGCGUAACGCGUAUGCAAUCUACCUUUUGCAGAGGGAUAGCCCAGAGAAAUCUGGAUUAAUACCUCAUAGUAUGUGAGAAUCGCAUGGUUUUCACAUUAAAGUCACAACGGUAAAAGAUGAGCAUGCGUCCCAUUAGCUAGAUGGUAAGGUAACGGCUUAUCAUGGCAAC